GCAGUCGAACGGUAGCACAGAGAGCUUGCUCUCGGGUGACGAGUGGCGGACGGGUGAGUAAUGUCUGGGAAACUGCCUGAUGGAGGGGGAUAACUACUGGAAACGGUAGCUAAUACCGCAUAACGUCGCAAGACCAAAGAGGGGGACCUUCGGGCCUCUUGCCAUCAGAUGUGCCCAGAUGGGAUUAGCUAGUAGGUGGGGUAACGGCUCACCUAGGCGACGAUCCCUAGCUGGUCUGAGAGGAUGACCAGCCACACUGGAACUGAGACACGGUCCAGACUCCUACGGGAGGCAGCAGUGGGGAAUAUUGCACAAUGGGCGCAAGCCUGAUGCAGCCAUGCCGCGUGUAUGAAGAAGGCCUUCGGGUUGUAAAGUACUUUCAGCGGGGAGGAAGGCGAUGAGGUUAAUAACCUUGUCGAUUGACGUUACCCGCAGAAGAAGCACCGGCUAACUCCGUGCCAGCAGCCGCGGUAAUACGGAGGGUGCAAGCGUUAAUCGGAAUUACUGGGCGUAAAGCGCACGCAGGCGGUCUGUCAAGUCGGAUGUGAAAUCCCCGGGCUCAACCUGGGAACUGCAUUCGAAACUGGCAGGCUAGAGUCUUGUAGAGGGGGGUAGAAUUCCAGGUGUAGCGGUG
RNAcentral lists this ribosomal RNA (634 nucleotides) under Enterobacter ludwigii. Its description in RNAcentral is "bacterial SSU rRNA". It matches the Rfam family "Bacterial small subunit ribosomal RNA", at positions 57 to 683 of the family's 1533-position model. Lineage: Bacteria; Pseudomonadati; Pseudomonadota; Gammaproteobacteria; Enterobacterales; Enterobacteriaceae. The record is from RNAcentral.